GCGUGAGUUAACUCAUGUUGGGGGUAUUUUCGGUAGCUUAUGUGGGAAUGAGCAAUUUUGAUUUGGAGAAGAGCAAUUUUAUGAAAGUAUUUAUAUACUUAUUAAAGUUUCAUUCGAAAGUUGUACCUUUUUUUUUUUUAUUGAGGGAAUUCGAAAGUUGUACCUAUCUACCUUAUUUCCACGACAGACAGUAUCAUGUAAGAUCAGUAGAGCGUUUUAAUUGCUCCUAUAGAUAAUAAUUUUAACUUGUCAUCAG
Molecule: long non-coding RNA, 256 nt
Filed under: Medicago truncatula (barrel medic)
Lineage: Eukaryota; Viridiplantae; Streptophyta; Magnoliopsida; Fabales; Fabaceae
Description: lncRNA gene13313
Source: RNAcentral